This 495-nucleotide ribosomal RNA is filed under the name uncultured bacterium. Its description in RNAcentral is "partial 16S ribosomal RNA". It matches the Rfam family "Bacterial small subunit ribosomal RNA", at positions 28 to 505 of the family's 1533-position model. The record is from RNAcentral.
GAUGAACGCUGGCGGCGUGCCUAAUACAUGCAAGUCGAGCGAACAGACGAGGAGCUUGCUCCUCUGACGUUAGCGGCGGACGGGUGAGUAACACGUGGAUAACCUACCUAUAAGACUGGGAUAACUUCGGGAAACCGGAGCUAAUACCGGAUAAUAUAUUGAACCGCAUGGUUCAAUAGUGAAAGACGGUUUUGCUGUCACUUAUAGAUGGAUCCGCGCCGCAUUAGCUAGUUGGUAAGGUAACGGCUUACCAAGGCAACGAUGCGUAGCCGACCUGAGAGGGUGAUCGGCCACACUGGAACUGAGACACGGUCCAGACUCCUACGGGAGGCAGCAGUAGGGAAUCUUCCGCAAGGGGCGAAAGCCUGACGGAGCAACGCCGCGUGAGUGAUGAAGGUCUUCGGAUCGUAAAACUCUGUUAUUAGGGAAGAAAAAAUGUGUAAGUAACUAUGCACGUCUUGACGGUACCUAAUCAGAAAGCCACGGCUAACUACG